Molecule: long non-coding RNA, 542 nt
Filed under: Fukomys damarensis (Damara mole-rat)
Lineage: Eukaryota; Metazoa; Chordata; Mammalia; Rodentia; Bathyergidae
Description: lncRNA (ENSFDAG00000022958.1)
Source: RNAcentral
CUCCCUCCCCCUUAUCAGCAUGGGUGACUGACUCACCUUGCUCCACCUAGUGGCUUUUGGAAUGAAAUUUUCUGGAAAGAAAGGGAAGAAGAAAGAAAAAUUCUACUAUCUUUUGGAAUGAAUAUGCUUGGUGAAUGUGGAAUUAUCUCACUUAUUUUUAACAACUUAUUCAGCAAAAUGGGGAAACAAUGAAACCAGCCCUGCUUCCUCUUUUGCUGUUUAUGUCCAAGCCUACAUUCAAGCUCUCUUUAAGAUUUUAUUGGACAGUUAUUAGAUGCAAGAAACAUCACUGGAAACAGCUCAGUAAACAGAUGACAGUCAUGAUGUUCAUGGUGACAAUGAUGUUAAGACCAUAGUAUGGACCAACCAAGUCAGAUUCAUAAGACAGAAGAGUGAUAUAUAAUGAAGCUGAAACCAACCAACCAACCAACCAAAAAAAAAAAAAGAACCCAGAAGUUUAAGAACUGGUUCCAAAAUAAUACCAAUAUCAGCUUAAAUAUUUAAAGAUAUAUUUAUCAUAAGCUGAAUAUGGAGGGGAAGAU